GAAGGUGGCCUGUGAGGGUUGCUGGAGGUAUCAGAAGUGCGAAUGCUGACAUAAGUAACGAUAAAGCGGGUGAAAAGCCCGCUCGCCGGAAGACCAAGGGUUCCUGUCCAACGUUAAUCGGGGCAGGGUGAGUCGACCCCUAAGGCGAGGCCGAAAGGCGUAGUCGAUGGGAAACGGGUUAAUAUUCCCGUACUUGGUGUUACUGCGAAGGGGGGACGGAGAAGGCUAUGUUGGCCGGGCGACGGUUGUCCCGGUUUAAGCGUGUAGGUGUGUGUUCCAGGUAAAUCCGGUUCACUUUAACACUGAGGCGUGACGACGAGGCACUACGGUGCUGAAGCAACAAAUGCCCUGCUUCCAGGAAAAGCCUCUAAGCAUCAGGUAACAUCAAAUCGUACCCCAAACCGACACAGGUGGUCAGGUAGAGAAUACCAAGGCGCUUGAGAGAACUCGGGUGAAGGAACUAGGCAAAAUGGUGCCGUAACUUCGGGAGAAGGCACGCUGACACGUAGGUGAAGUGAUUUACUCAUGGAGCUGAAGUCAGUCGAAGAUACCAGCUGGCUGCAACUGUUUAUUAAAAACACAGCACUGUGCAAACACGAAAGUGGACGUAUACGGUGUGACGCCUGCCCGGUGCCGGAAGGUUAAUUGAUGGGGUCAGCGCAAGCGAAGCUCCUGAUCGAAGCCCCGGUAAACGGCGGCCGUAACUAUAACGGUCCUAAGGUAGCGAAAUUCCUUGUCGGGUAAGUUCCGACCUGCACGAAUGGCGUAAUGAUGGCCAGGCUGUCUCCACCCGAGACUCAGUGAAAUUGAACUCGCUGUGAAGAUGCAGUGUACCCGCGGCAAGACGGAAAGACCCCGUGAACCUUUACUAUAGCUUGACACUGAACAUUGAGCCUUGAUGUGUAGGAUAGGUGGGAGGCUUUGAAGCGUGGACGCCAGUCUGCGUGGAGCCGACCUUGAAAUACCACCCUUUAAUGUUUGAUGUUCUAACGUGGACCCGUGAUCCGGGUUGCGGACAGUGUCUGGUGGGUAGUUUGACUGGGGCGGUCUCCUCCUAAAGAGUAACGGAGGAGCACGAAGGUUGGCUAAUCCUGGUCGGACAUCAGGAGGUUAGUGCAAUGGCAUAAGCCAGCUUGACUGCGAGCGUGACGGCGCGAGCAGGUGCGAAAGCAGGUCAUAGUGAUCCGGUGGUUCUGAAUGGAAGGGCCAUCGCUCAACGGAUAAAAGGUACUCCGGGGAUAACAGGCUGAUACCGCCCAAGAGUUCAUAUCGACGGCGGUGUUUGGCACCUCGAUGUCGGCUCAUCACAUCCUGGGGCUGAAGUAGGUCCCAAGGGUAUGGCUGUUCGCCAUUUAAAGUGGUACGCGAGCUGGGUUUAGAACGUCGUGAGACAGUUCGGUCCCUAUCUGCCGUGGGCGCUGGAGAACUGAGGGGGGCUGCUCCUAGUACGAGAGGACCGGAGUGGACGCAUCACUGGUGUUCGGGUUGUCAUGCCAAUGGCACUGCCCGGUAGCUAAAUGCGGAAGAGAUAAGUGCUGAAAGCAUCUAAGCACGAAACUUGCCCCGAGAUGAGUUCUCCCUGAGACUU
This 1588-nucleotide ribosomal RNA is filed under the name Salmonella enterica. RNAcentral describes it as "bacterial LSU rRNA". It matches the Rfam family "Bacterial large subunit ribosomal RNA", at positions 1252 to 2823 of the family's 2925-position model. Lineage: Bacteria; Pseudomonadati; Pseudomonadota; Gammaproteobacteria; Enterobacterales; Enterobacteriaceae. RNAcentral also lists the same sequence under 1 other name. The record is from RNAcentral.